ACUUCCGGCGGCUCCCAGGACCACUCGUUCGGGGACGGGGCGCCGGGCAUCUUGGCCAGAACCCCGGAUCUUGGAACCGGGGCUAGUGAAGGCCACAUCGAGUUCUCCCUCCCUGUCCCGACGGGCCGGAGGGCCUGUAAACCUCUUGUGUUCAGUCUGGUGCCUCCUGCCGGUAGUCACUGGGCUGUGGAACAGGAAGUCCCGCCCCCUCCCCAAGUGAGGAAAACAGAAAAAUCGGAGAGGUCAGUUGCAAACCAGGGCAGAUGAGGGUCAAUCUGGGUGGACGACUGGCGGCGUCCGACCCGGAGGGCAAGGCGGGGUUUGCGGGGCUCCCCAAGCGGAUUCCUGCCGGACGGUCCGCCGCCCUCCCGACCCCGUGCCCACCAGUCCACCCCCGCUCGCCCGCCUUCGCGGAUCCCGGGGGAGGCCGCCGCCCUGGGCCCGAGUGGGCCGAGCGGAGCCUUGCGCUGGUCUUGUGGGGACAGGGUCUCUCUGCCGCGCCGGGCGCGUGCGCGGCUCCAGGGACUCAGGAAGACCUGGCAGGCGCCUCAAAAAAAGGAAUCCUCGGAGCCACGGGCCGAAUUCCGAUACUAACAGGGAGGCAGAGAUGCCAAAGGUGGUUGUUGGCAGGUUUGGCAAGAGAAACCGAAGACACCUCGGGCGUUGAAGACGUCCCCGCCGAACCGUUUUUGUAAACGUGAACGGCACAGCGCAAGAAGGGUUAGGAAGACAGGCACGACGGAGCCUAGUAGCCACCGACCCCUCCUACCCCUUUCCGGGGGACUUCGGGAGACCUGAAGCUUACAGCUUUUCUCAGGAGACUCAGAAGUCCGGAGAGAGGACCGCAGCUUGAAAAGUCUGCAGAGAGGAGCGGGCCGCUGUGCCACCCCGCUUAGGGUCAGUGUAAGGACAGAGCUUGCUAAGGAGUUUUGACUUUAUCUCGAAGAUGUAGGGAGGGGAAUUUCCUAAAUAAUCAGCUUUGUAUAAUUUUUAAGAAAGUGGAGUUUUUCCAGGAUAGUAUUACAAUGAUAGGCUUAUCUCAACCUGCUGGAUCAGAUAGAUGGUAAGAAUCUGCUUGCAGUAUGGGAGAUCCAGGUUCGAUCUCUGGGUGGGGAAGAUCCCCUGGAGAAGGGAAUGGCAACCCACUCCAGUAUUCUUGCCUGGAGAAGCCCAUGGACAGAGAAGCCUGAUGGGCUACAGCCCCAAAGAGGGAGACACAACUGAGGGACUAACAUUUUAACUUCUCAACCAAAUCAAUUCUCAAGGGCAGUUCCAGAUCAGUGAUUCUGAAUCAGAACAUUCAGGAAAUUGCAGUUUAGAAGAGUCAACUAUUCCCAAGAUCACACAGCUAGAAAAGGUGGACCUCGCCUGUAAACUCUACAGUCAGCCUUUUCCAGUCCACCAUGCGUCUUUUGGAUGACAAGGAUUGAGCCCAGACUCCCACAGUGCAUUCUGUUAUCACUUCUGAGUCCCCUCUGGCUUAUGACAGGUUUGUACCUCUCUUUGCCUUCCAUGAACCGGACCCUCUUGUAGAGUGCUAAUCGGUUGUUAUGUAAAAUGUCCUCCCGAUUAACUUUGUCUGAUGCUCUUUGUCUGAUGCUUUCUCAUGAUUGGAAGUCAUGCAUUUUUAGCAGGAGUACCAUGAGAUGGCGUACCCAUUUUUAUGGUUGCUCCAUGAAUUAACUAUUGGGAAAGUGGGACUUCUUUUGUUUUUAUUUCUAUUUUUAAUCAACAUAUAAAUAAAUAUCUGUACUCAACUAUUACCUGAAAGUCUCAGUAUUUGUGUACUCAACUUUCAAGGUACUCCAGGAAAUAGUAUUAAUGGAUAUCCUAAGGUGUAGAAAGCGGAGAAGGCGA
This is a long non-coding RNA of Capra hircus (goat), 1857 nucleotides long. RefSeq lists it as uncharacterized. The transcript has 3 exons. The record is from RefSeq and is a predicted model, not a curated record. Lineage: Eukaryota; Metazoa; Chordata; Mammalia; Artiodactyla; Bovidae.